This 574-nucleotide ribosomal RNA is filed under the name uncultured bacterium. RNAcentral describes it as "bacterial SSU rRNA". It matches the Rfam family "Bacterial small subunit ribosomal RNA", at positions 912 to 1478 of the family's 1533-position model. The record is from RNAcentral.
GACGGGGACCCGCACAAGCGGUGGAACAUGUGGUUUAAUUCGAAGCAACGCGGAGAACCUUACCAGGGCUUGACAUCUGACGAAUGUUUAUGAAAGUAGACAGUGCCUUCGGGAGCGUCAAGACAGGUGGUGCAUGGUUGUCGUCAGCUCGUGUCGUGAGAUGUUGGGUUAAGUCCCGCAACGAGCGCAACCCUCGUUAUUAGUUGGUGUUAGCGGUAUACUGUUAACGACCUCUCUAAUGAGACUGCCGGUGAUAAACCGGAGGAAGGUGGGGAUGACGUCAAAUCAUCAUGCCCCUUAUGUCCUGGGCUACACACGUGUUACAAUGGCCGGUACAGCGAGCAGCCAACUCGUGAGAGUGAGCAAAUCUCUAAAAACCGGUCUCAGUUCGGAUUGCACUCUGCAACUCGAGUGCAUGAAGUCGGAAUCGCUAGUAAACGCAGAUCAGCACGCUGCGUUGAAUACGUUCCCGGGUCUUGUACACACCGCCCGUCACACCAUGGAAGUCGACCACGCCCGAAGUGCGUGAGCUAACCGUAAGGGAGCAGCGUCCUAAGGCAGGGUUGGUGACUGG